RNAcentral lists this ribosomal RNA (450 nucleotides) under uncultured bacterium. RNAcentral's name for it is "partial 16S ribosomal RNA". It matches the Rfam family "Bacterial small subunit ribosomal RNA", at positions 338 to 795 of the family's 1533-position model. The record is from RNAcentral.
CCUACGGGGGGCUGCAGUAGGGAAUAUUGGACAAUGGGCGAAAGCCUGAUCCAGCCAUCCCGCGUGGUAGAUGAAGGCCCUCUGGGUUGUAAAUACCUUUUGCAAGGGAAGAAACUCUCCGAUUCAUCGGAGCCUGACGGUACCUUGCGAAUAAGCACCGGCUAACUCCGUGCCAGCAGCCGCGGUAAUACGGAGGGUGCAAGCGUUAUCCGGAUUCACUGGGUUGAAAGGGUGAUAAGGCGGCAGAGUAGAAAGCCCCAGGCUCAACUUGGGAACUGCCAUUGAUACUGAUAUUCUUGAAUUCGUUUGAGGCAGGCGGAAUGUUGCAUGUAGCGGUGAAAUGCUUAGAUAUGUUACAGAACACCAAUUGUGAAGACAGCUUGCUAAGACGAUAUUGACGCUGAGGCACGAAAGCGUGGGGAGCAAACAGGAUUAGAUACCCCGGUAGUC